AACGGCGUCGAGCGGCGGACGGGUGAGUAAUGCCUAGGAAAUUGCCUUGAUGUGGGGGAUAACCAUUGGAAACGAUGGCUAAUACCGCAUAAUGCCUACGGGCCAAAGAGGGGGACCUUCGGGCCUCUCGCGUCAAGAUAUGCCUAGGUGGGAUUAGCUAGUUGGUGAGGUAAUGGCUCACCAAGGCGACGAUCCCUAGCUGGUCUGAGAGGAUGAUCAGCCACACUGGAACUGAGACACGGUCCAGACUCCUACGGGAGGCAGCAGUGGGGAAUAUUGCACAAUGGGCGCAAGCCUGAUGCAGCCAUGCCGCGUGUAUGAAGAAGGCCUUCGGGUUGUAAAGUACUUUCAGCAGUGAGGAAGGGGGUGUCGUUAAUAGCGGCAUCUCUUGACGUUAGCUGCAGAAGAAGCACCGGCUAACUCCGUGCCAGCAGCCGCGGUAAUACGGAGGGUGCGAGCGUUAAUCGGAAUUACUGGGCGUAAAGCGCAUGCAGGUGGUU
This 500-nucleotide ribosomal RNA is filed under the name Vibrio sp. ZXM027. RNAcentral's name for it is "bacterial SSU rRNA". It matches the Rfam family "Bacterial small subunit ribosomal RNA", at positions 84 to 580 of the family's 1533-position model. Lineage: Bacteria; Pseudomonadati; Pseudomonadota; Gammaproteobacteria; Vibrionales; Vibrionaceae. The record is from RNAcentral.